UUUUGUUGGGGUUUUUGAUUUUUAUGUGUUUAAUUUUAAUGGGUAUCUUUUAGUUUUGUUGAUUGUGAGUUACUUUGAGAUUGAGAUUUUGGGCUAGGGUUUGUUGAAUUGGGUAUUGUUAGGUUGGUUUGUGUUAGGGUUUUUGUAGUUGCAGGCACAACUAAUUUUGCAUUUUUAUCAUUGUUUUCUUAUGGUAGACUGACUGACCAUCAUUGUUGGGACAAAAGUCUAUGUUAUUGUUCUCAUCGUUUAUGGCAAAGAGUUAAAGAAGUUUCAUAUUAUUUCCUAUUCCUUGCUGGGGCUUUGAAGGCUUUGGUUCAGGUAUUCCACUUGAAACAGGUCUGUAUCCGCCACGACACCGCCGCCAACACCCACCGUCGGCCGAGAAAAUUCCCUCUGGUUCGUAUCCGGUUGUUUCCCUCAGCUCCAAUUAAGACUGGCCACUUCUAGAGGCAGAGAAGUUAGCAAAGCUUUCUGUAAAAUGAUGCAGGCUAAGAUGCAGAGACAGGCCAGAUUUAGACUCGGAAGUUCUCCCUGAACUGGAGGAGCUUUGCAAAGUGGCUAAUGUUUGUUUCAAGUUGAGACAAUGCAAUGUUUAUGCACCGAGCCAUUAUCUAUGCCCAAUAUUGCAGGAAAUUAUGGAAAAUCCCCAUAUUGCUGCUGAUGGAUAUACUUACGAGUAUAGAGCAAUUAAAGCAUGGCUUGGAAAACACAAGAUAUCUCCCGUUACGAAGCUCAGGCUUUCGCAUACCUGCAUAAUCCCAAACCACUCUUUGCUAUCAGCUAUACAAGAAUGGAAGUCAUCCUCUGGCUUACAACAUCCUGAGAAAUGAGAUUGCUCGAUACAUGAUCAUACUCCUGUAACAUUUCAACUUCCUCCGAAGUUACAGAGAGCUUGAUUAAUUUAUGAUGCAAAUCUAUCAUAAAUAACGGUAGCUUGGUCUUUGCAUACUACAAGGAAGGCGCCAGUGAUCCUACCCUUUUGUACUUCGCCCACGGGCUGAAGGUGUUCAAAUGCUAGAGCCUGUUCUUUUCAGAACUCCAAAAGAAGGAGCUUUGUACUCUAAUGAUAUGUUACCUAAAUUAUCUGUUGCCGCUGGACUUGGGUCUUUUAGUGCUUUAAUUGUGGUACUUAAUAAACUUAUGUGGGUUUGAGUAAUGUUUUUGUCACAACUUUUUUAAGUUAUAUUUCA
This is a long non-coding RNA of Asparagus officinalis (garden asparagus), 1193 nucleotides long. RefSeq lists it as uncharacterized. NCBI's taxonomy places the organism in Eukaryota, Viridiplantae, Streptophyta, Magnoliopsida, Asparagales, Asparagaceae. The transcript is spliced from 3 exons. The record is from RefSeq and is a predicted model, not a curated record.